Molecule: long non-coding RNA, 10745 nt
Filed under: Glycine max (soybean)
Lineage: Eukaryota; Viridiplantae; Streptophyta; Magnoliopsida; Fabales; Fabaceae
Description: long non-coding RNA (GMAX_LNC000063)
Source: RNAcentral
GUUCUUCUUCUCGCGCACUUCCAUUGCUUCCUUUCCCAAACAUUGGUUAUUCUUCUUCUUCACGCUUGUUUGAAAAGACCUCUGACUUCUUCCUCAAUAAAUGUGAGAGGUUAAGAUUAAUAUGUAUACAUAUUCCUUGCAAUCAAGCAUUAGAGGGUAAUAGCCAAUGAGUAUUUAUUGAUGAGUUGUUGAAGGAUCUAUUCAUUCCAAGCUCUCAAAGAAGCAAUCUAUCAACAAAGCAAAUAGUGAAAAGAAUAUCAAAGUUAGAAGAUUGUCAAGUGACUGAGACAUGGAGGUCUGCAAAACAAAGCUUGCAAUUCCCUGGGACAUGGAGGUCUGCAAAACAAAGAAAACCAGCAAGGACAACAAGUUCAAGUUGCAAAAUACAAGAUUUAUAUUUUGGUACAAUAUUUAUUUUGGAUAAUUUAUAUUGUGACAAACAAAUUAUGGUUCAUAAUCAAUAUUAUUGAUAUUAUUUUGUUUGUUUUAAAUUAUGCUUGCCAAAAUAUAUUUUUUAAGUGAUUAUUGUGACGUUAUGUUUGUAACAAUGAAAAAUGACGAAAAUCUACCAUCAAAUUAUAUUUUACUCUUAAAAAACGAAAUUACUCACAUUUUCUUCCAAAAUUGAUAACUUAUUAAUAUUCUUGUCCAACGGAACGCAUUGACAUUUAGGUCCAAAAAUAAUUACUAACAAUUUCCUUCAAGAAAAAAAUAUUGACAUUUUCUUCCAACAAAAUAUUAUUGAUAUUUAUGACAAAAAAGGAUAUCUUAGUGACAUUUUCAUCCAAUCUAGUUAACAUAACCACGUUUUGACAAUCAAUUUUGUGACAAAUUUAUCAUUGUGCAACGUAGACAACUUUUUUAAUAGUAACAAAUGAAAGUUGACGGUCGGAUAUAUUUGUCGCACUUUUAAUACUUUCGAUGACUAAAUUUUGCAUUUAUAUCUUUCAGGGACACAUUUAUCAAUGAAUUACCCAUUCAGGAACAACAAUGAUUAUUUACCCUACAAUUUAUCUUGUUAAUUUGUAGUUACUCUCUUCUCUCAAAAUAAUUAUUAUUCUAGGUUAUUUUAUACCGAUCAAUAAAAAUAAAUAAAUAAAAUAAGAAUUUUAUAAAAUUAACCUUAUAUUAUUAUUAAUUCAUUUUUAGAUUUUGUAGUUUAUAAUUAAUAUAUAAGGGAUAUAAAUGAAAAAUAAUAAUUAAUGUUAUAUUAAAAAACUAAAAUGAUAAUUAAUUUAAAACAUUUUCUUUUCUUACGAUGUGAUUGAAUGAGUAAUUAACUUCUUGAAUCGCUACAAGAGAUAAAAAAGAGUUUAUCUUAUUAAUCUACAAUAAUUAUUUUUUUAAAUUUAAAAUAUUAUAAGUUUAUUAAGGAUUUAGUAAAAAAAUAAUUAAUAUAAGAUAUAAUUUAGGAAUCUUAUAAAAAUAGAUAAAUAUAUUUCUAAUAUAUAAAAAUCUUAUACAUAAAUAUGAAUAUCGUAACUCUUAAAAGUAUCUACAAUUUAAUGAAUUUAUAUUAGUUUUACAUUAGGAAGUAAAUUUGAUUUUUUUUAUCUUUCUAGAUUAAUUUGUGAGCGUUUUAUACUUUUAAAGGUAAAUUAGGUUAUUUAACCAAAAAUUUAUAAUUCAUAUUAUAGUUUAAUCUUAUCCAUUUGGGUCAAGCAUGAUGCAUUUAGCUGAAUGUCAAUCUAUUAACCACCUUUUCUUCCUGUAUCGUGUAGAUUUCUUUAUAUCCAAUAAGGAUUGCAAUUCCGUAAUCUCUAAAUUCUUUUAAAAUAAAAGUUAAAAAUAUAUUUUUAAUGUUUUUUUAAUAUAUUUGAUUAUAAUUUUUUAUAAUUAUUACGUCAAGUAGAUUUUUAUUUUUAAUUUUAUUAUAAUUAAUUUUGAUUUAAUAAUGUAUUUUUUAUAUAUAUAAAUUUUAAAUAAAAAUCAUAGGUUUAAUAAAAAUUUAUAUAUGUCAAAAAGUCACUUUAUCAUUAAAUUAUUUGCAUCAAUAAUUUAUCAUAUUUUUUUUACAUUUAAAAAUUAAAUUUAAAUUUCCCAUUUGUUAAAAAUCAAAUUUUCAUUUUCUCACACCUUCAGUGAACAAAUGGUAUUUGCCUUUUGGUUUAUUUUCAUUCAUGAGAUGGGCGGUGGUUUGUUAUUUUUUCACGAGAAUUAAUAUUAAAGAUUAUUGUAAAUUAUUUUGGUUUUCACUUUUUUCUUCUUCCUUUAUGAAGGCUUACGCAAUAUUAUUAUUGAUACCGACACUUCGUUAUUCUUUAUAUUGAUAACUUUAUGUUGCUAAAUUAAGUAUUUUACACUUACUACCAUACCGAACACUUUCAUUAUUUGCCCAUUAGGGAGGGAUGGGGUUGGAUUGCUAAAAUAAAAAAUAAAUUCAAUCUCAUUCCAUUCAAUCUAAUUAAAUUUAAUUAAAUAUGAUAAAAAAAAUAGAUUAAUCUAUUUCAAUUACUUACACUAAAAAUAGAUAGAAAAAAGAAGAGAGAAAAAUAGUUGAUAAGAUUUUUUUUAUUGACAAAUAUUAAUUAUUAAUUUAUUAGUUUUGGAUGGAGGAGAGGAAUGUAAAAUAAUUGAUAUGGUUACUGUACAUUCCGUCAGAAACUUCAAAUAAAUAAAAAAUAAAGAGAAUGAGAAAAUAAAUGAUUUUUUUUUUAAAAAAAAGGAAACGAAGGAGAAAUAGAGUGAUUACACUUAAUUUGCAUAGCGCCAAGAUUAGUUGAAACUCGUAAAGAUAUUUUUUACUUUUCAUUUUGUUCACCAAAUACAAGAGUUCAGAGAUAUUUCUGUUUUCUACACCAUUACUCUUAUCCACUAACAUUGUCUAAACUCAAAAACCUUUGUUCAAUUUCAACUUUUUGCACCACGCAGUUCUCGACACAAAGGUGUUGUUGGUUCCUCAAAACCAACACAACCAAUCAAAGAAACUAAAAGCCAUGGCAUGUUCUUCAUUCACAUUUGCCAAUCCAUCAUCAAUUCCAAGACCGAGAAAUUCAUUACUUUCUUCUUCUCUAAGCCCGAGAGCCAUGGCCAAAGAGCUUUACUUCAACCACGACGGUUCGGCCAUGAAGAAGCUGUUGGUAAGGAUUUUGGACUCUGUUAGUUUAACACUUGGUUUUGGUUCUUCACAAGAUGUGAGUGAGUUGGUGUGUUGUGGUGCAGGCAGGAGUGGACAUGGUGGCUGAGCUGCUUGGUGUGACAUUGGGUCCAAAGGGGAGAAAUGUUGUGCUGCCAAAUAAGUAUGGACCACCCAAGAUUGUAAAUGAUGGAGAAACUGUUCUCAAAGAGGUGUUUUUUUUCUUAUUAUUCAUUCAUCAUCAACCAUUUGCUUCUUCCCUUUUGUUGAUGUUCUUUUUUUUGUAAUGUGUUAUUAGUUUUAAGGUUAUGGAUAAGUGACAAUUGUCAAUUGACAAAUUUAUGCCUUGUUUAUUGAUUACUGUUUUGAAAAAUAGUUCUUUGUUUUCUAUACCGAUAAGAGGUGGCUCCUAGAAGAUGAUAUUGUUGAUCAAUCAUUCCCUAAGAACUUGGACAAAAAAGCAUUUGAAGAAAACACAAGAAGAGAAUGGGAAAACAUUUCCCAGAUUUUUUAGUAUUUUGGUUUUUAAAGCGCUUGUUUUGAAAACAAUUUUCAAAACAUGAUGGAUGUUGGUUGAGAAAUUGAUUGCUGAGUGUAGUGUGAAUUUGUUUUAGAAAACAGUUUUUAAAACGAAAAAGUAAGAAGAGAAUCAAACAUGGCCUUGCUUUCUUUUAUUUUCAAAUUCGGAGGUGUUUUUUCAAUAUUUAAACACUUGUCUUGUGGCUUGUGUAGUUUAAUGAACUUUUCUAUAAUCUGGUCUAAUAACAACAUGGUUUUGUGCCUUAAUUAUGAAAUUUGUUUCCCUAAUGUUAUAUCAGAUUGAAUUGGAAGAUCCGUUGGAAAAUGUUGGAGUUAAAUUGGUGAGACAAGCUGGUGCUAAAACCAACGACCAAGCUGGUGAUGGCUCAACUACAUCUGUUGUUCUUGCUCAUGGCUUAAUCAGAGAGGGGGCAAAGGUAAAUAUAAUAAGCUGAACACGAGUAUCCUAUUACAUCAAUCAGAACGAAAUGAUUAGAUAAAUGGAUGUUAGCAUAUAUGAUUACGAAGGUUUAUACGAAAAAUUAACAUGUAUAACUAUAUUAAAAAAUUCUCUGUAUUUCAAAUUUGCAAAUGAAGAUUGGAAAACAUUAGCUUUCGGUUAAUGUUUUUGUCACUAUGUCAAUGGCUUUAAAAGGGGUUUCUUAAAUUUGCGCUCUUAUCCGCUCCUUUCUUUUUCCAUUGUAGGUUAUUGCAGCUGGAAUGAAUCCUGUUCAAAUUGCUCGUGGCAUUGAGAAGACAGCAACAGCGCUUGUUUCUGAACUCAGAUUGAUGUCAAGAGAAGUAAGUUCUACUCAUUAGUUUUUUUAAAAAAGAAAAACACCUGGAUUAUUGAAAAUUUUGAGAAUCACAAUGAAAAUUAUCUGGCUGCAGAUGUUGAUUUAAUUGUGCUUUUUUCUGCCUGCCAAUUGUUGCUUAUAGUUGGAAACUGGAAAAUCUUGCUGAAUUCAACAACAUUGGCUGCACUUGUAGGUUGAGGAUCAUGAGCUUGCAGAUGUUGCUGCAGUCAGUGCUGGGAAUGAUUAUUCAGUUGGAAACAUGAUUUCCGAGGCUCUGCACCAAGUAGGCAGAAGCGGAGUAGUGACAAUUGAAACCGGAAGGAGUACCGAGAAUAGUCUUGAGAUUGUGGAAGGAAUGCAAUUUGAUCGCGGAUAUCUGUCCCCAUACUUUGUCAACAAUAGAAGAAAGAUGACAGUUGAACUCCACAACUGCAAGGUAUGGCAAGUAGGGGCAUUUGGACUUUGGAAGAACUUGUACAGAAUUUAUUUGAGUUUAUAAAAGUGCUUAUGGUUAUGACCUUUUGUUUAAGUAUUAAGCUUGAUUCAACAAGCUUCAUGGUUGAGCUAAUGAUAUCAGCUCCAAUGUAAUAAACUUAGGUGUUGUGUGGAUACUUUUUCCGUAAGCACUUCCAUGAGAAGAGAAUAAGAAGGUAAAAUGAAUUGAGUUUCUCUCACAAAUUGAAAUGAACUUAUGCUCUUUAACUUAAUAGAAGCCCUCUCCUUUAACUUCUCUAAAUGUUGAUGUGAUAAGUUGAUUUUAGCUUAUGAAGUUCUGUUCAUUUUACCUUCUUAUUUUCUUCUCAUAUAAGUAUUUAUGGAGAAGUUUGUCCAAACCAGACCUUACGAGAUAAACACUUAAACUCUUUAGUAAAGGGAAUCAGGUAUAUAAAAGCCUUACCUAAGUUCUAUUAAAUAGAUGGUGUAUAAUUCUUUGGUUGCAGUUGCUUUUGGUCGACAAGAAAAUCACAAAAACAAAGGAGUUGAUCAACAUAUUGAACAAUUCUGCGAAAGAAAAAUAUCCAGUUUUGAUAGUUGCAGAGGGCAUUGAGCAAGAAGCUCUAGCUCCAGUCAUUAAAAAUAAACUUCGGGGUGCUCUUAAGGUAGCUGCCAUUAAGGCUCCUGCCUUCGGUGAACGCAAGACCCAUUACUUGGAAGAUAUUGCCAUCUUGACUGGAGGUAGAAGAUCAAACACUCAAAUUUAGAAGCCUAAAUAUUCUGUUUGCUGAUAUGUUAAUACAACUAGAAAGAAAAAUUUCUAUCAGGAGUGAAUGACUGAAGUUGCUAAGAAUAUGUACUUAAAUGACUUGUACCUUAAGUAUAUGACUCACUGAAAUGUCAGAUUAAGUCAAAUUAAUUGAUGCCUAUGCUUGUCCUCAAUGACAAAGAUAGCAUGAAAAUUAGCUGUUAACAACUUAAAAAGAGACAUAUAACUGAAGCAUUAACUUCCAUUUGCUUCAAUAUGUUAGAAUGCUGAGUGGAAGAAAGCAUCAAUAGUUUCUAUAUACAGUCUUCAAGUUUUAGUUCAUUCUCUAAUAAUCUUUACACUUUUACAUUCUUUGCUCUUCCUAUGUUUUUCAGGUACUGUAAUCAGAGAAGAUAUGGGUUUCAACCUAGAAAAGGCUCACAAGAAUGAUCUGGGUUCUGCUACUAAGGUUGUCAUAACAAAGAAUUCUACCUUAAUAGUUACUGAUGGGAGUACUCGAGAAGCUGUUGAGAAGAGGGUUUGCCAACUUAGGAGGCUUGUUGAGGUGAAUACACAGAACUUUGAAGAUCCUCACUUCUCACACUUGACCAGUGUUAAGUUUUAAAAGUAACAUGAUGCAUGUUUAACAUAUCCUGGGAUUACCUACACAUCUAUUUCACAUUUUGCAGAAUACAGUGGAAAAUUUCCAAAAAAAGAUAUUGAAUGAAAGGAUAGCAAGAUUAUCUGGGGGCAUUGCCAUUCUUCAGGUACUAUGAGUUUCAUUUUAUUUGUCAUGUGACAAUCUGUAAUUUAAGAAUUCUGUUUCCAUUUAAGAUAGUUUAUUUUCAGCAACUGAAAUCUAAAUCAUAGGUAGGAGCACAAACACAGGUAGAACUGAAGGAUAAACAGUUAAGAAUAGAAGAUGCUCUAAAUGCAACAAAGGUAUUUCUUUUUCCUUAGCUCUAACAAGAUGAUUUGCUGUAAUUUAAAUGGCUAAGAUUCUUAGAACAAGGCAGGCCGCAAUCGAGGAAGGUGUAGUAGUUGGUGGUGGCUGUUGCCUUUUAAGACUAUCCCAAAAGGUGGAUGGCAUAAAAAAACUCCUGGAAAAUGAAGAACAACAGGUAAUUAUCUGUUCCAUACUACUAAGUUUUCCUUUAUCGUGUUUGAAGUUUAUAAUUAUAACUAAGCUCUUAUUAGUUAUCUUACAAUCUAUUGCAAGCAUUCAUUUUGUGCUGUGCCUUUUUAUUGACUGUUCAAGAUAUGAAAAUUUUAUCUGUAAUAUUAUCUGUAGAUUGGAGCUGAAAUCUUCAGGAGAGCAUUGAGCUAUCCUACAAGAAUGAUAGCAAAGAAUGCUGGUGUAAAUGGCAAUGUCAUCAUAGAUAAGGUCCUGAUCCUGUUGAGAAACUGUUUCUGUAACUGUAAGAGAUUGAUUACCAACUAGAUAUUUGGAUCUUGUGCAGAGUUUAGUUAAUUCAACUCAUCAACAACUAUUCAAUUAAAAUACAUGCUUGAGGCCCCUUAUUUCAUGCAGGUUUUAUCAGACGAUAACCUGAAUUUUGGUUACAAUGCUGCUAGAGACUGUUAUGAGGAUCUCAUGAAGGCUGGGAUCAUGGAUCCAACUAAGGUAUGACCAUUUGAAUGCCUUUUACAUAAGGGAAAACAAUAAGUAAAUUUUCUCAAACUAGUUAUUCACUGUAAGCAUUUACUGAUAAUAUAUUACUAAAUAUCCAAAAUCUGUAUGCCAAAAUAAAUAUCUGAUGCUGUUGAUUUGUUCAAGCCAGAGAUCUUAUGAUUUUCAAUUGAACAAAACUUGGAUACAGUUUCUUAAGUGUUAUUUUUGUGUUCUCCAAUCAAAAUUGGAGUUUCACCUUAAUAAUCCAUGUAAUAAAGGUCACAAUAUAUUACCAAGGUGAAACUUCAAUGCUGAUUGAAGAAUAACAUAAAAGAAACCUAAAGAACUGUAAGUUUUUUGUAGUGAUUUAACACCAUCAAAAUGUCAAAUGGCAUUGUGUGAUCUAUAUAGCAUACCUCAGAUAAAGUUGUGUUGUUCUUAUUGUUGUUGUUUAACACCCUCACAAAAAUUUUGUAGCAGUUUUACAAUCUCAGAAAUUUUUUUCUGUUGCUAGCACCAAAAUUCAAAACUUAAAUUUUUGUGUACAGGUGUCGGGUAGGGACUAAAACUUACAAUUUUCUCGUAUAGAGACUAAAACUUAAAAUGAGAACAACUAUAGGGGUCAAGUAAAUAAUUUAACCAAUGAACAACAAAAUGGAAUAAAAACAGGAAUGCAAAUUGGUACUAGUAUAAAAUAUGAAGGAGCACCUGCCAAUUUUGCAGUGGAGGUGCAUUUUAAGGUUUUGCACAAGAUGACCAAUUCUAUUAUCUUGAAAAAUUGCUGCAGGUAGUUAGGUGUUGUAUAGAGCAUUCAGCUUCUGUGGCCAAGGCAUUUCUAACAUCUAGUGCGGUUGUGGUUGAGCGCAAGGAAUUAAAGCCCAUACCAAUACCACGAAGAAAGCCCAUGCCCACCUCAGGUAAUGAAUUAGAUUCAUUACCAAUACCACGUAGAAAGCCCAUGCCCAUGCCCAUGCCCAUGGCUACACCAGGUAAUAAAAUCUUGCUAUGUCAAAAGGUUAACUCAUUCAUUUGAUUGUGUUUAGUUGCUCUCCUACCAUGUUUUCGCCUUAUAGGAAUGACAGUGUUCAAUUUUGGUUACUCAGGUUUAGGACCAAUGGGCUUUUAAAAAGGAAAUUUGUACAGUUCAAUUCAGCUUUUUGUUCAAGGGUUCAGUGUGAUCAAUCAAGAAGCACUAGAAAUUCACAUACGUAUACUUUGUAUAGAUGGUGGCAUUGAUCUAUCCUAGGAACCACAAAUGAAGUGAAUCAAAAAUUCAAAAUGAAACUGUAUGUGACUAAGUGAAGCCGUGAAGGACAAGGGGAAGCACUGAACAUGUAUGCAGUGGAAGGAAAUUUUUUGUCACAUUCAGACAGUGACUACAGUGUCCUAUUCAUUUUAUUUUUGGUACAGAUGGUGGAUAUUAAAAAAAAAUCUUUUAAUUGUUGGAGGGAAUGUAAAACUUGUCAUCCUAUGUUAAAGUGUAUUACAUAUAAAGCAAUUUAAAGGAAUUAUGAAUCACAUCAGUUUAUAAAUCUAAUACAUUUUGGGGUCUUCAUCUUUUAAGUAUUUCUUCAUUCUAAAGGGCGAAUAGAGAAAAAAGAGGUUCCGAGUUUGAAUCUUCCACUAAUAAAUGAUAAAAAAAAUUAAAUAUUUUGAUGCAAUGCUUCUUUAACUUCUAAAACUAUUUCUACAUGUUAGUUGCCCAUUAAUGGAUUCAAAAGAUAAAUGUUGGUUUUUAAACAGGGUUAUUAUAUUAGGAUAUCCGCAAAUUCUAAAUAUUCUAUCAACAUUUCUAAUUUUAUUUUAUCCCUCUUUCCUUAUCAUAUUACAUCACUAAUCAAAUCAAUUAAUUAUCUUUUCCCUCUCCCUAUCUCUCUUAAGUUGUAUACUCAUAAGAGGUGUUCAACAAAUAUUUUCCUUAUAAAUAUAUAUGUUGUUAAUAGUGUUAGUUUCUCAAAUUAUUGGAUAUUAUUAGUCUCUCAAAUUAAAAAAGAAAUAGUAAAUAAAUUACUGAAAUUAAAAUUUAUUUGUCACAUUAAAAUUCCUUUUGGAACACACUUCAUAUUAGUUCAUAAAAAGCAAGGGUGUUCAAAAGGGAACCAAGUUGUUUGUAACAGUUAAAUGUUAACAAAAAUAAAAAAUCACUUUAACCUAAAACCACAACAAUCAAUAAUCUAGAAAAAUCACACUUUUUGCCGUUUGGUUUGACUUUGAAAUCUUAUUAUCAAAACCCAACAAAACUGCAUAGAUGUUUCACAUUAUGUAGCUAAUGUUAUUUUAAAUUUAUGAUGAUUAUAGCAUGUGAUUUAUAAUCUACUUCUUUCUGUAAUAAGCUUCUAAUAUGAUUUUUGUUGUAAUAAUUAAUAAUAAGCAUUGAAUAAUUUAUUAUAUUUUUUUUCUUUAUAAUCAAGAUGCAUAUUUAAUUUUCAAAUAUUAAAAAAGGAUAUACCAAUAUGUUCAAAAAUAAUAUUAAAUAUUAAAUGAUGUACAAAUUAUUAAAGUAUGUUACAAAAAUAAUUGAUAAUAUUAUUUUAUAAUAAUGCUAAAUAGAAGUAAAAAUAACAGUUUAAAACUAAAAUAUGUUAAAUAAAAUUCAAUAAAGAAUACAUUUUAUUUUUAGAAUAAUAUAAUAUAAUAAUUAUAUAAGUUUAGUUAAUAAAUUUUAAAUUAUGAUAAUAGAUUAAAAAUCACAAAAUCAAAUUAAACAAAAUCAUAAAAAAUUAAUUUAACUUGAUUCGGAUUUAAUAUUAUAUUUAAAUUAAAUUAAUCAUAUUUUUAUUUUAUAUUUGAUUCAAACAACUUUUUAUCUAGUAAUCAAACCAAAUCAUUGUGUGAUAAUCCUAAUAAAAAGAGACGCGAUGUGAGAAAAAAAAGUCAAAACUUACUGUUAAAAUGGUUGACCUUCAAAUCUUAAAAAAAUAAUUAAAAAAAUGGUCUAAUAAUUUAUUUAAUAGAUCCUUUUAACAUUAUAUUAUAGAAGGCACGUGGUUUAUUACUAAAAUUUUCUAAACCAAAAAAAUCAAACGGAAGUCCAAAGUAAAAAAAGCAAGAAUAAAAGGAUGAAAAUUGGUUGUAAAAAAAAAACAGAAAAAGGAUGAAAAUACUAAUUUUAUUUAUUUAAAAAGGUAGUAUUAACGAAAUUAGGAUUGACUUAUUUGAUUUAUUUUCUAAUUUUCGCACGAGAAUUCACAUUCACUCAUUGGGACGAGGGGUGGACCGAGAAAACACAAUCGAGAAAACUCCGAUGUCUCUGUCUCCUCGCGUUCCCUCUGUUUCGAUUCUGUCACCACCGUUCAGAGACAUCCACGUUCUCAUCUGUUUCUGAAUCUCUUCUUAGUCGAUACACUCCCUCCCAAUCUCACCUGAAUAAGAAGAACAUGGCGAUUAUGGUGAUGGUGGGAUUGGGCCUAUUGGACUUCCUCGUCGCUGGGGUUUCUUUAAUCAUUGGUUUGGGCUUCAUUGCCUUCAUUGCUUCCAUUCUCUGCGCCACUGCGUUCUUCAACAACGCCAAGGACGUCUCCUGAGAUUGAAGCCUCCAUUAAAUGGUUCGAUCUUGAC